GCUGAUAGGGCUGCUUAGCAGGUUACUUUGAUAUAGUGAUGCGUGGAGUUUAAAACUUUCGUCAGUA
RNAcentral lists this transfer RNA (67 nucleotides) under Apharyngostrigea pipientis. RNAcentral's name for it is "tRNA-Ile". The record is from RNAcentral. Lineage: Eukaryota; Metazoa; Platyhelminthes; Trematoda; Diplostomida; Strigeidae.